UACGUAGGUUCCGAGCGUUGUCCGGAUUCAUUGGGCGUAAAGGGCUCGUAGGCGGUUUGUCGCGUCGGGAGUGAAAACGCCGUGCUUAACACGGCGCUUGCUUUCGAUACGGGCAGACUAGAGGUAUGCAGGGGAGAACGGAAUUCCUGGUGUAGCGGUGAAAUGCGCAGAUAUCAAGAGGAACACCGGUGGCGAAGGCGGUUCUCUGGGCAUUACCUGACGCUGAGGAGCGAAAGUGUGGGGAGCGAACAGG
RNAcentral lists this ribosomal RNA (253 nucleotides) under uncultured bacterium. RNAcentral describes it as "partial 16S ribosomal RNA". It matches the Rfam family "Bacterial small subunit ribosomal RNA", at positions 524 to 776 of the family's 1533-position model. The record is from RNAcentral.